UCCGGAGGAUCCAAGCGUUAUCCGGAUUCAUUGGGUUUAAAGGGUGCGUAGGCGGAAUGAUAAGUCAGUGGUGAAAGCCUGUUGCUUAACAACAGAACUGCCAUUGAUACUGUCAAUCUUGAGUACAUUUGAUGUGGGCGGAAUGUGUCAUGUAGCGGUGAAAUGCUUAGAUAUGACACAGAACACCGAUUGCGAAGGCAGCUCACAAAACUGUAACUGACGCUGAGGCACGAAAGCGUGGGUAUCAAACAGG
Molecule: ribosomal RNA, 253 nt
Filed under: uncultured bacterium
Lineage: Bacteria
Description: partial 16S ribosomal RNA
Rfam family: Bacterial small subunit ribosomal RNA
Source: RNAcentral